GACGAACGCUGGCGGCGUGCUUAACACAUGCAAGUCGAACGGAAAGGCCCUGCUUUUGUGGGGUGCUCGAGUGGCGAACGGGUGAGUAACACGUGAGUAACCUGCCCUUGACUUUGGGAUAACUUCAGGAAACUGGGGCUAAUAUCGGAUAGGAGCUCCUGCUGCAUGGUGUGGGUUGGAAAGUUUCGGCGGUGGGGGAUGGACUCGCGGCUUAUCAGCUUGUUGGUGGGGUAGUGGCUUACCAAGGCUUUGACGGGUAGCCGGCCUGAGAGGGUGACCGGCCACAUUGGGACUGAGAUACGGCCCAGACUCCUACGGGAGGCAGCAGUGGGGAAUAUUGCACAAUGGGCGGAAGCCUGAUGCAGCAACGCCGCGUGCGGGAUGACGGCCUUCGGGUUGUAAACCGCUUUCGCCUGUGACGAAGCGUGAGUGACGGUAAUGGGUAAAGAAGCACCGGCUAACUACGUG
Molecule: ribosomal RNA, 468 nt
Filed under: uncultured bacterium
Lineage: Bacteria
Description: partial 16S ribosomal RNA
Rfam family: Bacterial small subunit ribosomal RNA
Source: RNAcentral